CGAGUAUCGCCGCCUACUUAGCCUGCAGUUCCAGUCGCCGCUGCGCUAGCUGGGUAGGAUGAGGAGUCUGUCCUCCUCGCCGCGCCCGUCAUCGAAAACACCCCUUCCACGAGUCCCACCGCAAGAGGCGGGCAUCCACCACCUCCGCCACCACCAUUGGCAGGCCCAAAUCCAGCACCAGGUAAUCAUCGGUUCGACGGCAUCUUGAACAGGGGCGAUCUUGAUCGGCGUUGUCUCGGGUGUUGGGCAACCUCGAGUGGCAGGCAGCAGCACCAAAUCACAACGUAGGUACUUGUCUACCUGCACAAUUAAAGUUUCCUCAUUCUUUUUAUUUUUUCAUGAUUCAUGAAACCAUAUCUUUCUUGGAUUGGAUCCUAUCGACUAUUGACGUGGAGUAAGAUGGAAUGUCUGUUGCGAUUUGAAGCUCUUUGCUUUUCGAUGAGCUGAGGAUCGGACAAGAGUGCCUUUGUGUGUCGCAGGUGCGUCCACGCGGUCACGCAGACGGAUGGAGAAAUUUCGAUAUUUGACAUCAAAUUCGCGCUUUCACUUGUUUUAACACUUAAUUCGCAAGCCUUUUAAAAUAUAACCCUCCGUCUACGAAUUGUUUCAAUUUGAGGGAUUUCUUCUCCUUUUCCUAAUUUAGAGAUUUUCUUUUUCUUUUUCAUUUUACAGUGCACAUGAACCGACCAUUCUGCCCUGACCCAAUUGAUCAGAUCGUUAGAAUCAAAUCGAUCCUUCUUCACCCGGCCUGCCUACCUUUCCUCUCCCGUGCUCCCGUCUCUCUGAUCUCUCUCUGAUCCCAAGGGAGGAGGCGGAAUAGGAGCUCCACCGCCCGCCGGCCCCCAUCCUAGAGAUACUUCGGCCGAAGAUAACUUGGCGAGCAGCACGCUGCCAAUGUGGGAGAUCUUGCGGCACCACUUGAUGCUGAGCCUCUCGACCCCUGAGCACCAGACGGAGACCUUGGCGAGCCCGACGUCGGUGAUGCCAAGGCACUUGUCCAUGACUAGCUCCCUGAGCCCCGCUGCCGCGGCGAGGGCGGCCAACUUCCUAUCCCCGGUGGCGACACAGUGGGACUUGUCGACGGCCUCCAGCCUCGGGCAUGCCGCCACCAGUGCCUCCAGCAGCUCCUAUUCCGCCUCCUCCCUUGCGACCGAGAGAGAGAUGAGAGAGACAGGGAGACGAGCACGGCUGCACGGGAGCCUCGCCGUCAUGGGCGCUGUUGCCCGCCCGCGAGGGUGUCCCAGUCAACUGGAGCAGAGGGUUGGGGCAUGGCGAUGAGGGAAACAAGCAGGGCGGCGCAAACGGAGGCGCUCGGUCUCUGGAUGCGGCGAUAGAGAAGAAGAGACGAGUGAGAGAGGUAGCAGGAGAAAAUCAGGAGGGUAAAUUGGUCCAUUAACUUGAUCCGUCAAAUGAAAUCGAAAAGAAAAGGAGAGAAAUUGAGGAAAGGAGAAGAAAUCCCCCAAAUCGAAAGAAUUUGCAGGUGGAGGGUUAUAUUUCAAAAGGCUUGCAAAUUGAGGGUUAAAAGAUGUGAGGCGUGCGAAUUUAGUGUCAAAUAUCGAAAUUUCUCAGAUGAAUGAACCCUAUUGUCUGCUGCGCCUGUUUGUGUAGUUAUUACCAAGUAAAUCGAACGGAAGGACGUCCAUGAUUACAUGACUCUAGAAGAUGACCAGAUGGAUGUACCAGGUGGUUGGUGCUUAAGCUCACUGCAUCGCGGUGACCUGUUAGUUUUGACGCAUGCUUGCCAAGUUCUUCACGGAGUACCCCCAUUGCAAUGAGAUAUGGCAAUGCCCUGCUUACUAAUUCUUGGAAUCGGUGCCAUUUUGAAUCACUGCUAGGCGAUAGCUUGCAUCAACAAACAUAGUGGCAGUAAGGCACUCAUGAGACACUGGUGAGGUCUGGGAAGCUAGAUGUUGGGGUGUUGCUCCGGGAGAAGAUGAGGCGAGGUUGCUGGUAUACGGAUAUUCUCUGGAUUUGCCAAUCCUCCGUAUUGUGGCAAUUUUGGAUAAUAUGGACAUCUACAGAGUUAAACCGAAAUAGAAUUUUUUAAGAAUACUAUAGCAGGAUAUUAUAAAGAGUUUUUAAUGAAAACAUCAAUUGCAAAUAGUGAAUGGAAUAUACCGUGUAUGUACAUUCAUGGAAACAAUUUAUUUCAUUGACUAUUCUAAAGAAUUGUUAUGCCAGGAUCCGAAAUAAUAUUUAAGCACUUAUUUGUUCAAGCCAAUUUACACAAUGCUGGUUUCUUAGACUCUCCAUGGAAUAGUAGAUCAUUGAUAAUAUUGUUUUCGGGUUUGUGCUCAUAACAUAUGGCUGCAGCAUAAUGCCUCAUCGUAGAAGGUGCUAACAAAAAUGUAACUUGGUAAUGUACAUGUGUUCUUAUGGUUUCUUCACUUCUUUGAUUCGGUAAAUCGGAUCAAUUUAUGCAAUCAUAGUGGAUCAGAGAAGGGAUCUCGGUCUGCUCAUAGAGGACCCACUUACCAGGGGUAAGGGGGUAACAAAGUGUGGAGUAGUUCUCAAAACCACUCUUUCAAAAAUGAAUAUGUCGAGAGAGCCAAACAAUUAUUUACCUAAACUCACCUUGACCCACCAUAACCCCACCCCUCCCCUAAUUUUGGUACUAAUUGAUGCUAAUUGCCACUAAUUGUCUAUCAUCUCCGAAAGAAAUUUAAUGAGGGGAGGGAAUUGCCUAUCAUUUUGGAAAGACAUCAAAAGAGGGGAAGGAAUCGUCUAUCAUUUGGGAAAGAAAUUAAAGGAGGGGAGGAAAAUGAUGGUAGUUGCCUAUGAUGCACUUUCCAUAUAUAUUUUUUUUGUAGAAGUCUUAUGGUGCACUUUCCAUGUAGAUCAUUUUGGAAAGAAAUGAUGGCUGUCUCCAUUUAUCAUGGAAGUUUGAUAGAGAGCCCAUCACUUUACAAGAUACAAAUUUAAUAAGGAAGUCCCCAUUUGCAAUUAAAGAUGAAAUUAUUGUACACAUAGAGAUUUGGUUUGUUGAUAUUAAUUUUUUAUGUUGUGCUACCCAAUCUAUUUCAUUUUUUAUCAUGAAGAAGAUCUGAAGGUCACUCCACUGGAGCGCAAAAGGCAGAAAAAAAAAGGCAAUGUUAUGCUAAUACAUAUAAUGUGAGUUAUUGAAAGGAUUUUGAAGCAGAGUGAGUUCUCGAAAACACAAGGUGAAUUAUUUUAGUCUAUGCAUUUAGGAUUUGCACCGUAUAUGUUUUCAGGUUGUGAUUGGUACAAUUUUCUAUUUGUGGUAUGUUGGAUUUGAAUCACCAUCAAUGUAGUUUGAAACUAUGCAAUCUACAAUAAUACAGUUAGCUUCUGGCCUAAGGACUAGAAGCGCUACCCAUGGUGUGAUUUCCUAAUCCAUCAACAAUAUUUUUUGUUAAUAAUUAGUAACUAAGAUAAUUAAAUUAUCAUUGAAGUUUUUUCUAUUAUAGGUGGUAAUACAAUAGUUGCGCCGAUGAGAUGCGUUUUGACCACAGUUCAAUUUCUUUAAGCAAUGUUGUAGGAUACCCAUGGGCAUCAACACUAGAAGGUGAUUUCAUUUUAUUAUUAAUUAUUGGUGUUUGUUUAAAAAUAUAUAUUUAAGAAUUAUAUAUGCUACAUGAUCAACACGUACAGUCUUAUAUUGCAGAUAUUAGAAUUGGCAUACGCGCCCUAUAUUGUGUGAUGGCAUCAAAUUUGUAAUUGUCGCUCCAAUUGAGAAGCUAAAGAAGUUCUAUGAUGUACUACACUCAAAUUCUGAAGACCAUAAGUCUGCACUAGAAUACAUGUAUGAGUGUAUGAGAAGUGUUAGGAAUCUUCCAGAUAUAAAAAAAUUAAGAAUAUUGGUACGAGUC
Panicum hallii is the source of this 3830-nucleotide long non-coding RNA. RefSeq lists it as uncharacterized. The transcript is spliced from 2 exons. Lineage: Eukaryota; Viridiplantae; Streptophyta; Magnoliopsida; Poales; Poaceae. The record is from RefSeq and is a predicted model, not a curated record.